CCCGAGAACAAUUGACAACUGGAUAACCGUUGUAAUUCAAGGGCUAAUCAUGCAUGAAAAGUAGUUUUUAACGAGACUACUGCAUUUGUUAGUUCCAAACCAACAUUUAAAAGGUGAAUCAUGACAAAUUGCGGAUCUACAUGUCUUUAUGACGGUAGACGACUCGGUCAGGUCUUUCCCCUAUCAGGUUUCAACCCGAGUGUAUUGUACUCAGGUGCCGCUGACGGGUAACGGAGAAUUAGGGUUCGAUUCCGGAGAAGGAGCCUGAGAGACGGCUACUACAACUAAGGUAGGCAGCAGGCGCGCAAAUUUCCCAAUGCUCAUCGAGCGAGGAAGUGACGAUCAAUAACAAUGUGUGGCUUUUUAAGCUAUGCAAUUGGCAUGACUACAAUUUAAAAAAUAUAAGGAGGAUCAAUUGGAGGGCAAGUCGUGCCAGCAGCCGCGGUAAUUCCAGCUCCAAUAGGAUAUAUCAAAGUUGUUGCAGUUAAAAAGCUCGUAGUUGAAUUUCUGAUGGGUAGAUGUGGGGUGUUAAUAUUCAGUAAUGGAUGUUUACUUUGCCGCCUGUCAUUUUGUGGAAAAACGAUUGGAUUUGUUCUUCAUUGAACGAAUUUAAUUGCCACUCAGUUACUGAGAGCAAAUUGGAGUGCUCAAAGCAGGCUUGAUAGCUUUGAACAUAUUAGCUUGGAAUAACAAUGAAUGACUUGAUCGUAUUUGUUGGUUAUAUAAUUAAGUAAUGAUUAACAGGAACAGUGGCGGGGGUGUCUGUAUUGGGAAGUCAGAGGUGAAAUUCUUGGAUUUUUCCACGACAAACAACUGCGAAAGCAUUCACCAAGGAUGUUUUCAUUAAUCAAGAACGAAAGUGUGGGGAUCGAAGAAGAUUAGAUACCUUCGUAGUCCACUCCUUAAACGAUGCCGACUCGGGAUGUGCUCAUUAAACGUUACAGUUUGGAGCAUGCACCGUAUGAGAAAUCAAAGUCUUUGGGUUCCGGGGGGAGUAUGGUCGCAAGGCUGAAACUUAAAAGAAUUGACGGAAGGGCACACCAGUAGUGGAGCCUGCGGUUCAAUUUGACCCAACACAGUGAAACUUACCAGGUCCAGACAUGGCGAGGAUUGACAGUUUGAAAGCACUUUCUUGAUUUCAUGGGUGGUGGUGCAUGGCCGUUCUUAGUUGGUGGAGUGAUUUGUCUGGUUGAUUCCGAUAACGAACGAGACGGGAGGAGUUCACUAGUUUGUACGUAAUUCGCGUUAUGUCAAGCUUCUUUACUCGACUGGUCAUUUUUAAUGACAGGAAGCGUCCCGCAAUAACAGGUCUGUGAUGCCCUUAGAUGUUCUGGGCCACACGCGCGCUACAAUGACGAUUUCAACGAGUUUUUUCCUCCUUGCCCGGAAGGGUGUGGGUAAUCUUUUCAAUGGUCGUCGUGAUGGGGCUAGAUUUUUGCAAUUAUGAAUCUUCAACGAGGAAUUUCUAGUAUGUGCAAGUCAUCAGCUUGCGCAGAAUGCGUCCCUGCCCUUUGUACACACCGCCCGUCGCACCUACCGAUUGGACGAUCCGGCAAGAUGUUUGGAGAUGGCAUUUUUUAUCUUUCGGGAUUAAAAUGUUGUCAAAGCUCCUCAAACCUUAUCGUCUAGAGGAAGGUGAAGUCGUAACAAGGUC
Molecule: ribosomal RNA, 1654 nt
Filed under: metagenome
Description: SSU rRNA
Rfam family: Eukaryotic small subunit ribosomal RNA
Source: RNAcentral